RNAcentral lists this ribosomal RNA (292 nucleotides) under uncultured bacterium. RNAcentral's name for it is "partial 16S ribosomal RNA". It matches the Rfam family "Bacterial small subunit ribosomal RNA", at positions 505 to 796 of the family's 1533-position model. The record is from RNAcentral.
GUGCCAGCCGCCGCGGUAAUACGGAGGGUGCAAGCGUUAUCCGGAAUUACUGGGUUUAAAGGGUGCGUAGGCGGCCUGUCAAGUCAGGGGUGAAAUGUCGUCGCUUAACGAUGAAAUUGCCUUUGAUACUGUCGGGCUUGAAACAGGUUGAGGUUGGCGGAAUGUGGCAUGUAGCGGUGAAAUGCAUAGAUAUGCCAUAGAACACCGAUUGCGAAGGCAGCUGGCUGGACCUGGAUUGACGCUGAGGCACGAAAGCGUGGGGAGCAAACAGGAUUAGAUACCCUCGUAGUCC